CUUCGCUGUUGCCAUUUUUGUCUUUAUAUGCAGCUUCCAAGUGAUUUCGCUGCCGGUGGGAGAAAAGGAGUUGCAUGUGGUAGAGCCCAUUCAACAAUACCAAGUUCGUGUCAAAAGGAACACCUGCAACGUUGAUGAGAGUGAUGUCAGUUGUGUUUCUCAUUGUAAACUUCUGGGGUAUAAAGGGGGUUAUUGCAACACUCUGAAAAUCUGCAUAUGCAGUGCUAAUUGAGUACAUAUUUAACCAAUGAUGCUGUUAAUGAUGUAACAAAAUAAUAAAAUUAGCUUAUUCCAUUUUACAA
Zophobas morio is the source of this 302-nucleotide long non-coding RNA. RefSeq lists it as uncharacterized. The record is from RefSeq and is a predicted model, not a curated record. The transcript is spliced from 2 exons. Lineage: Eukaryota; Metazoa; Arthropoda; Insecta; Coleoptera; Tenebrionidae.